This 89-nucleotide ribosomal RNA is filed under the name Flavobacteriaceae bacterium. RNAcentral describes it as "partial 23S ribosomal RNA". It matches the Rfam family "Bacterial large subunit ribosomal RNA", at positions 2834 to 2925 of the family's 2925-position model. Lineage: Bacteria; Pseudomonadati; Bacteroidota; Flavobacteriia; Flavobacteriales; Flavobacteriaceae. The record is from RNAcentral.
GUCGUAGGAGACGACUACGUUGAUAGGUCAUAGGUGUAGAGGCAGUAAUGUCUUAGCCGAGUGAUACUAAUUACCCGUAAGCCUAUCGU